ACUUUUAUAAUUUAGCGGUUAGAAUUCUAGACUAUAAAUCUAGAAGUUAUAGAUUCGAAUCCUAAUAGUAGUU
This 73-nucleotide transfer RNA is filed under the name Opeltia flavorubescens. RNAcentral describes it as "tRNA-Tyr (ATA) (tRNA-Tyr-ATA-2-1)". It matches the Rfam family "tRNA". Rfam says of the family: Transfer RNA (tRNA) molecules are approximately 80 nucleotides in length. Lineage: Eukaryota; Fungi; Ascomycota; Lecanoromycetes; Teloschistales; Teloschistaceae. The record is from RNAcentral.